CGUAGGUGGCAAGCGUUGUCCGGAUUUAUUGGGCGUAAAGCGCGCGCAGGCGGACUGAUUAGUCCGGGGUGAAAUCUCACGGCUCAACCGUGAGCGGUCCCCGGAUACUGUCAGUCUUGAGGGGUCUAGAGGAGAGCGGAAUUCCCGGUGUAGUGGUGGAAUGCGUAGAUAUCGGGAAGAACACCAGUGGCGAAAGCGGCUCUCUGGGGAUCACCUGACGCUGAGGCGCGAAAGCGUGGGGAGCGAACCGGAUUAGAUACCCGGGUAGUCCACGCUGUAAACGAUGAGCACUAGCUGUCGGGGGUAUCGACCCCUCCGGUAGCGCAGCUAACGCGAUAAGUGCUCCGCCUGGGGACUACGGCCGCAAGGCUAA
This 373-nucleotide ribosomal RNA is filed under the name uncultured organism. RNAcentral's name for it is "bacterial SSU rRNA". It matches the Rfam family "Bacterial small subunit ribosomal RNA", at positions 526 to 897 of the family's 1533-position model. The record is from RNAcentral.